CGCGACUCCGACGGGUCCCCUACUUAAAGUUCGACGUAGUGAGCCCGUUGGAGUCGGGCU
This 60-nucleotide microRNA precursor is filed under the name Euprymna scolopes. RNAcentral's name for it is "Esc-Novel-62_pre stem-loop". Lineage: Eukaryota; Metazoa; Mollusca; Cephalopoda; Sepiida; Sepiolidae. The record is from RNAcentral.